UCACACAAGAAACCCAAAUUAAUAGUACGCGGCGUAAAGAGUGGACCCAUGACUAUCAUAAUAACUAAGGCUGAAAAGUAACUGAGCUGUCAUAAGCUUAAGAUACAUUUAAAAUCACCCUAAAAAUGACCUUAGCUCUUACGAUCGAUUAAAUUCCACGAAAGCCAGGGUACAAACUGGGAUUAGAUACCCCACUAUGCUUGGCCCUAAAUCCUGAUGCUUAACCCACUAAAGCAUCCGCCUGAGGACUACGAGCACAAACGCUUAAAACUCUAAGGACUUGGCGGUGCCCCAAACCCACCUAGAGGAGCCUGUUCUAUAAUCGACAACCCACGCUACACCCGACCACUUCUUGCAAAAGCCAGCCUACAUACCGCCGUCGCCAGCUCACCUCUACUGAGAGCACAGCAGUGAACACAAUCGCCCUAACCCCGCUAGUACGACAGGUCAAGGUAUAGCCCAUGAAGUGGAAGAAAUGGGCUACAUUUUCUAAUUUAGAAAACCCUCAUACAACGAAAGGGAACGUGAAACAAUUCCCAGAAGGCGGAUUUAGCAGUAAAGCAGGACAACAAAGCCCCCUUAAAAUUGGCUCUGAGGCACGUACAUACCGCCCGUCACCCUCCUCACAAGCUUAAAACCACCCAUAAAUAAUGCAUCUAUCUGCCAAAGAUGAGGUAAGUCGUAACAAGGUAAGUGUACCGG
RNAcentral lists this ribosomal RNA (702 nucleotides) under Geopelia striata (zebra dove). RNAcentral's name for it is "partial 12S ribosomal RNA". It matches the Rfam family "Bacterial small subunit ribosomal RNA", at positions 521 to 1508 of the family's 1533-position model. Lineage: Eukaryota; Metazoa; Chordata; Aves; Columbiformes; Columbidae. The record is from RNAcentral.